GAUGAACGCUGGCGGCGUGCCUAAUACAUGCAAGUCGAGCGAACAGACGAGGAUCUUGCUCCUCUGACGUUAGCGGCGGACGGGUGAGUAACACGUGGAUAACCUACCUAUAAGACUGGGAUAACUUCGGGAAACCGGAGCUAAUACCGGAUAAUAUAUUGAACCGCAUGGUUCAAUAGUGAAAGACGGUUUUGCUGUCACUUAUAGAUGGAUCCGCGCCGCAUUAGCUAGUUGGUAAGGUAACGGCUUACCAAGGCAACGAUGCGUAGCCGACCUGAGAGGGUGAUAGGCCGCCCUGGAACUGAGCCACGGUCCAGACUCCUACGGGAGGCAGCAGUAGGGAAUCUUCCGCAAUGGGCGAAAGCCUGACGGAGCAACGCCGCGUGAGUGAUGAAGGUCUUCGGAUCGUAAAACUCUGUUAUUAGGGAAGAACAAAUGUGUAAGUAACUAUGCACGUCUUGACGGUACCUAAUCAGAAAGCCACGGCUAACUACGUG
RNAcentral lists this ribosomal RNA (497 nucleotides) under uncultured bacterium. RNAcentral describes it as "partial 16S ribosomal RNA". It matches the Rfam family "Bacterial small subunit ribosomal RNA", at positions 28 to 507 of the family's 1533-position model. The record is from RNAcentral.